Molecule: ribosomal RNA, 397 nt
Filed under: Pichia kudriavzevii
Lineage: Eukaryota; Fungi; Ascomycota; Pichiomycetes; Pichiales; Pichiaceae
Description: eukaryotic LSU rRNA
Rfam family: 5.8S ribosomal RNA (bases 31-183)
Source: RNAcentral
CGACAAGAGAAAUCUACGAAAAACAAACAAAACUUUCAACAACGGAUCUCUUGGUUCUCGCAUCGAUGAAGAGCGCAGCGAAAUGCGAUACCUAGUGUGAAUUGCAGCCAUCGUGAAUCAUCGAGUUCUUGAACGCACAUUGCGCCCCUCGGCAUUCCGGGGGGCAUGCCUGUUUGAGCGUCGUUUCCAUCUUGCGCGUGCGCAGAGUUGGGGGAGCGGAGCGGACGACGUGUAAAGAGCGUCGGAGCUGCGACUCGCCUGAAAGGGAGCGAAGCUGGCCGAGCGAACUAGACUUUUUUUCAGGGACGCUUGGCGGCCGAGAGCGAGUGUUGCGAGACAACAAAAAGCUCGACCUCAAAUCAGGUAGGAAUACCCGCUGAACUUAAGCAUAUCAAUA